Molecule: ribosomal RNA, 468 nt
Filed under: uncultured bacterium
Lineage: Bacteria
Description: partial 16S ribosomal RNA
Rfam family: Bacterial small subunit ribosomal RNA
Source: RNAcentral
GACGAACGCUGGCGGCGUGCUUAACACAUGCAAGUCGAACGGGCACGCCCUGCUUUUUGGGGGUGCUCUAGUGGCGAACGGGGGAGUAACACCGUGGUUACCUUCCCUUCUCUUUGUGGUAACUUCCUGGAACGGGGGCCAAUUCCGGAUAGUAGCUCCUGCUCCAUGUUGGGCGUGGGAGGGUUGCGGCGGUUGGGGAUGGACUGGCGGCUGAUCAGCUUGUUGGUGGGGUAGUGGCUUACCAGGGCUUUGACGGGUAGCCGGCCUGAGAGGGGGACCGGCCACAGUGGGACUGAGAGAGGGACGAGACUGCUGCGGGAGGCAGAAGUGGGGAGUAUUGCACAAGGGGCGGAAGCCUGUUGCAGCAACGGCGCGUGCGGGAGGACGGCCUUCGGGUUGUAAACCGCUGUCGCGUGUGAUGAAGCGUGAGUGACGGUAGCGGGUAAUGAAGCACCGGCUAACUACGUG